GACGUUGAAGUACUUGGACAAGCUAGAUUUUGACGAGAAUGAAGAGGACGAUGAAGAUGAAGACGAGGAAGAUGAUGGUGAAGUUGACGGUGAGGAUCGAUCGAGGUCGGGGGGUGUUGGUAGUAGCAGGGGUGGCGAUGGAGUGAUUGAUGUUGAUGAGGAUGAGAGUGAAGAAGAUGGAGUUGUUGGCCUCGAAAACGGGGAUGUCGAAGAUGAUGAUGAUUUAGAGGACGUUGAUGUUGAGGAGAGUGGUGACGAUGAGGUUGUGGAGGUUCAUGAGAUUGAUGAUAGUGACGAGGAAGAAGGGGUCGAAGAGGAUGAUGAUGAGGAGGAUGAUGAUGGUGAUGAAGAAGUGGAAGAUGAAGAGGAGGAUGUGAGGCCCGGGAUUGAAGGCCGGGGAAUCGGUAAUGGUG
This 413-nucleotide long non-coding RNA is filed under the name Vitis vinifera (wine grape). RNAcentral describes it as "long non-coding RNA (VVIN_LNC000698)". The record is from RNAcentral. Lineage: Eukaryota; Viridiplantae; Streptophyta; Magnoliopsida; Vitales; Vitaceae.